GUCUAGGGUCACACCACUCUGAGUGUGCCUGGCCUGCCUGAUCUUGGAAGUUAAGCAGGGUCGGGCCUGGCUAGAACUUGGGUGGAAGAGACAAAGAGCCUUUCCUGAAGGGUCAUGAGCAUCCCAUCCC
Molecule: ribosomal RNA, 130 nt
Filed under: Otolemur garnettii (small-eared galago)
Lineage: Eukaryota; Metazoa; Chordata; Mammalia; Primates; Galagidae
Source: RNAcentral